UUGAAAAAAAUAAACCUAAUACACCCAUAGUCAAUCUUCCAACGGCUGGAAACCAUUAAUCUCUCUUGACAUUUUUUAUCAACUGUCCCAUCUGUUCUAUUCUUUUGACAAUAGCACUGCCCAAUAUUUCAUUCUUUGCUAUCUGUUUUUAGAAACAAGUUCUCUCCCAAUCUUCUUAGUUUGGGUUUCUUGCCCAUUGUUCUUCUGCUCUCAUAUCACAGUGAAUCGGUUCCUCAUUCUCUAGAGAAGCAACAUUGCGAUGAAUAAUCGAUUUCAAAGCCAAUACCUCGUUCAUCAGACCCCUGACCACCAACCCCGACGAUGAUUUGAACUCUCUGUUGUUGAACACAGCAUCAAACUGGAUCUUCACGGUCGUUCUCUGCUCGUUGUGUGUACCCGUUCAUGCAAAAGUUGAUUCCUUGAAUGCUAAAGUAUCCAUAAGCCAUAACAAAAAUAUCUGCAUUGUUCGUUUGUUCCUUAUUUGAAAACCACGGUGAGCCACUCCUAGAAAUUUUGAUGCACGAAAGUUGUGACCCAAGUAAGGUUUAAUAGCUGCCAGACCUCUAUGCUUGUGGAACAUUGCCGAAAAAUAUGAUGACAAUCUUCAUUUUCAUAACCAUACCUAGGGCAUCUGGCAUUUGUCACUAAUCUUCUAUGCCGGAGAUUGCCCAAAGUAGGAAUGUAAUUCCAUGAAAUACGCCAGAUUAUGAUUGUAAUCUUAGACGGUAGUUGUAGUUUCCAUAGUUUUCUGAAAAAUUUCUUGGUUUCGGUCUGUAACAAAUAAGGAUUAGGAUUCAGAUUAACAAUUUGUAAUAGUUUAUAGGGGCUACGGACUGAGUAUUCCUCUGUUGGUUCGCCCCUUCAGACUUGGAAGUCCUCGUGCACUGAUUUCGAUAGUGGGAUCUGUAGGAUUGUGCGAGCAACCUCCGGGUGAAAGGUAUUGUUGAUCAGCUCUUCUUUUCAUUUCCUAGUUGUAGUAUCAAUAAGAUCCGAAACAAAUUCUAGUUGCAUACUA
Long non-coding RNA from Gossypium arboreum, 1015 nucleotides. RefSeq lists it as uncharacterized. The record is from RefSeq and is a predicted model, not a curated record. The transcript is spliced from 3 exons. Lineage: Eukaryota; Viridiplantae; Streptophyta; Magnoliopsida; Malvales; Malvaceae.